This 333-nucleotide long non-coding RNA is filed under the name Ananas comosus (pineapple). Its description in RNAcentral is "long non-coding RNA (ACOM_LNC029961)". Lineage: Eukaryota; Viridiplantae; Streptophyta; Magnoliopsida; Poales; Bromeliaceae. The record is from RNAcentral.
AGGAGCUUUUGCUUCUGCUUCUGUUUCUGCUUCUUUCUACAGCACUUUCUCAAAUCACACAUCCAUCCAUCAUUUCUAUCACUAUCUUCUCUGUUUACGGCUUAGUUUGGUAUUGAAAUCUAUUUAACGUUAUUAGAUAAAAUAGAGUUGAGGAAAAAGCAUAUAGGGAUAUAUUUCUAUAUUCUUCGGUCAGACCGUAGAAAAUAUAUCGUAAUCGUCUCAUCGCGAUAUGCGGAACGCAGUAUACUUUCUCAACGCACGUAACAUAAUCGUCCAGCAAUCACAAACAAAGCCUAUGAGUUCUCCAAAAUGUACCCCACAACCUACCAAUUU